UACGGAAGGGGCAAGCGUUGUUCGGAAUCAUUGGGCGUAAAGAGCGUGUAGGCGGCUUGGAAGGUCAGCUGUGAAAACUCGAGGCUCAACCUCGAGACGUCGGUUGAAACCACCUGGCUAGAGUCCGGAAGAGGAGAGUGGAAUUCCCGGUGUAGCGGUGAAAUGCGCAGAUAUCGGGAAGAACACCCGUGGCGAAGGCGGCUCUCUGGGACGGUACUGACGCUGAGACGCGAAAGCGUGGGGAGCGAACAGG
RNAcentral lists this ribosomal RNA (253 nucleotides) under uncultured bacterium. Its description in RNAcentral is "partial 16S ribosomal RNA". It matches the Rfam family "Bacterial small subunit ribosomal RNA", at positions 524 to 776 of the family's 1533-position model. The record is from RNAcentral.